GACAUGGGAAGCUUGCUUCCUAUGAAAUCGAGUGGCAAACGGGUGAGUAACGCGUAAACAACCUGCCCUUCGGAUGGGGAUAACAGCCGGAAACGGCUGCUAAUACCGAAUACGAUCUUUUCGUCGCAUGACGGAAAGAAGAAAGGAUGGCCCCUAUACAAGGCUAUCGCCGAAGGAGGGGUUUGCGUCUGAUUAGCUGGUUGGAGGGGUAACGGCCCAACAAGGCGAUGAUCAGUAGCCGGUCUGAGAGGAUGAAUGGCCACAUUGGGACUGAGACACGGCCCAGACUCCUACGGGAGGCAGCAGUGGGGAAUCUUCCGCAAUGGACGAAAGUCUGACGGAGCAACGCCGCGUGAGUGAAGAAGGCCUUCGGAUUGUAAAACUCUGUUAUACGGGACGAAAAAGACGGAUGCCAACAGUAUCCGUCCGUGACGGUACC
RNAcentral lists this ribosomal RNA (439 nucleotides) under uncultured bacterium. RNAcentral's name for it is "bacterial SSU rRNA". It matches the Rfam family "Bacterial small subunit ribosomal RNA", at positions 69 to 479 of the family's 1533-position model. The record is from RNAcentral.